Molecule: unclassified non-coding RNA, 4392 nt
Filed under: Hevea brasiliensis (rubber tree)
Lineage: Eukaryota; Viridiplantae; Streptophyta; Magnoliopsida; Malpighiales; Euphorbiaceae
Source: RNAcentral
AUCAUUCUUAUUGCAAUUUACAAAGUUUCGUCUUAUCAAACUACACGAAAAACACCACCCACCACCACCACCGCCGCCGCCGAACCCACACCCACGCCCUUUGUUUCAAAUCUCAAAUCUCAUCUUCCAAAUUCAUCGGAAAAUUCUUUUUCACUUUUCCUUUUUAAUUCUUCUUCUUAUUUUUAUUUUUAUUUGUAUACACUGUUAUGUGUACCCAUGUAGAUUUUACACGUUUCAUUUUCUACCAAGAAGUCUUCAAAUUGGGCAUAUCUGUGGCCAAUUUCCUGACGGGCUGCUGUUGAUUUAAUUGUUUCUAGUUCAUGGGUAUUGGGUCAUAGGUAAUGGGAAUUGGGUAUAAUUUAAUAAUCAGAAUCUAGUCACUAAUAAUAAUCUUUGAUAUUCUGUAAUUCAGUGGAGGUUGUUAGAUAAUUUAUUAAUUUAUUAUAAUAUGGGAAAUGUGAAUGGAAGAGGAGAAGAAGAUGGGGUAACUAGCCCUUCAGGAUCAGGUGGUGGUGGGGUGGGAGCUGGGGUUGAUGAAGAGGAGGGAGGAGGAGGAGGAAAUAACGGCGGCGAGGGCAUGGUUGUUCCAGAUGAGACCCACCUUGGCUGCCUUCCCCCUCCUCCUGAAUUGAUGGGUCAGUCCCCUCCUCACAGCCCUAGAGCCACUCAAUCACCUCUCAUGUUCACUCCUCAGGUUCCAGUGGUUCCGCUACAAAGACCAGACGAGAUCCAAAUACCAAGCAAUUCAUGGAUGCAAAAUACUGUUGGGUAUGAAGAAAUGUGCAAUGAGCAAGGAAUUCCGACAAUGAUUUCAUGGAGCUAUGGUGGCAAGGAAGUAGCUGUUGAGGGAUCAUGGGACAACUGGAAAACAAGGAUUCCCUUGCAGAGAUCUGGUAAAGAUUACAAUAUAAUGAAAGUACUUCCUUCUGGCGUUUACCAAUACAGGUUUAUUGUUAAUGGACAGUUGAGGUACAUCCCUGACUUACCUUGGGCUCAAGAUGAUACUGGCAAUGCUUACAACAUUUUGGAUUUGCAGGAUUAUGUUCCAGAGGACCUUGAGAGUAUAUCUAGUUUUGAACCCCCUCAGUCUCCAGAGUCAAGCUACAGCAAUAUGCAACUUGGAAGUGACGAUUUCGCAAAGGAGCCACCAUUUGUUCCCCCACACUUACAGAUGACACUGCUCAAUAUGCCUUCAUCGUACAUGGAGAUUCCACCUCCCUUAUCAAGACCUCAACACGUGGUGCUUAAUCAUCUCUACAUGCAAAAAGGGAAGGGUGGCCCUGCUCUGGUGGCACUUGGUUCGACACAUCGUUUUUUAGCCAAGUAUGUGACAGUGGUGCUCUACAAGUCCUUGCAGAGGUAAUAAUUUAUUGCACCUAUGCUGGUUUUUAGUCUAUAGUCACCGGAUGUAGUCAGUAUAAUUAUUAAGAGGAAAAGCUACAACAGUGGCUUAAGUAAUCCCAAGGGAUCUUUCACGCGAUGCAAAUGCUUGAUGAACAUUGGUUAGGCAACCUAUUACUUGUUUUGGUUUUCCAUAUGUAGAAAUUAUUCUUCUAAUAUUACAAGACUACGUAUUAUUUGAAUUUAUAUGAGGGUGUAAGAGGAGUUGAUAUUCUAUUAUUCUGUGCUUAAUCUCAAAAACACAACUGAAUCAAUUCAGAGAAUAGAUUAAGACAGAAGAGAUGCAUUUUCAUUCCUUACUAUGUUUCGAGCAUGGCGCAGAAAUAAAGAAAAGCAUCAGAAAUACAUCUGCAAUACUUGGAUAAUGGAUUCACCAUUUUCCCAAAAAGGAUAUGAACCACACCAAAGCUAUGCCAGAAGCAUGUAUAAAAUAUACAAGGUAGUUAUUUGAAGGUCUUUUUCUGCUCCACUGUAUUUCCCUUCCCUCCCUCUUUUAGAACUAAGCCAACUCUGCCUGCUGCUACAUGUCUACCUAAAAACUGGGCAACCUUUGACCAUGAUGCCUGGUGCCGUUGGACAUGUAGCCAAAGGACAGUGAUCAAUAUCUGUACCCCACCACUUCAAAAUUUUUCCUUCAUUUUGCAGAGCAAAGAACAAUAAUACACCCAUGAAAGCCGUUCCAGCAUCCAAUGCCGCGGACAGAACAUAGUUAUAUUUCUGCCACCAGCGUUUGUGAUAUCGGAAUACAAAGUAGUUGAAGAUUGUUCCAGUGAUAAGCCAACUUGCUAUGUUGGUGGGAGUUGCAGGUGGCAUUCCAGCAAAACCAUAAGAUAUAACUGGUAUAUUAAUCAAUGGAAUCCAUGUCUUCUCAGGGAACAUUUUGCUCAGUAUCCAAACAGGUACUGGCAAGAAAGCACCAAUGAGGAAUAACCAUACCAGAUUAUGGUACAUCCCUCCAGGUCCGAAGAGUCUUCUGGGACCAAUCAGGCCCCAGAUGACUGAAGCAUCGAAAGUGACUCGGUAUUUAGGACAGGUCCAAGGACUUUCAGGAUGGCUUCCUUCAACAUCACAUAUGUUUUCAAUAUUCUCCAACAUCCACCAUGCAACUGCAAGAUUGACAGUACCAGCAACCAAAGUUCCCACCAACUGAGCUACAUACAUGCAGCGUGGUGGUAUUUUCAUGUAAUGCCCAAGUUUAAGGUCAGAUAAGAAAGAAAGGGCAUGGAUUGUGCUAAUUCGCCCAUAAAUCUUGAAAAGCAAAUUUGCAAUGGGUUUUCCUGGUAGUACAUACCCAAUUAUGAACUGCGCUAUUAUAUCGUAUCCUGGUUGCUGCAUUGUGGAGACAAGAACAUAACAAGACCCCCAAAAAAAAAUUAGCAUGCAAUUUGUUUUGUAUUCUGAUUGAUGUUUAGCUCCCUAUGUCUAGAGGGCAAAGAAGAGUAAAGACCAAGGGAACAUUGAUUGGAUUACCUGGUUGGUAGUUGCUUGAAUGACCCCAAUAGGAAGAGUAACAAUCCACGCCAAGCCAAAGGCAAAGAUCAUACCCCACCAUUGAAGCUGCACAUCUUUAUGCCACACAAAGGACAUCAAUAGAGAUAGGACAAUGCUCCCUACCAAUAAAAUUAAGAACCACCAUUCAGGCACUUGUUUGUAACUUUGCAUCAAUUUUGCAUGAAUGUCCAGUUUCGCAUUCUUCAUUGCUGAUCUACUUUGCCUCAAAAUAUCUCUUCCAUGAAACAAAGCCACAUGAGUGAGAGUUGCGGUAAACCUUGCAAAUCCUGAUCCAAUGGAGAGGGCAAAGAGAGGGCUAAGAUAGAGCUUCCCAUAACUAUCAUAAGCAGGAACAUUGAGUUGAUAAUCAGGGGUUAAGAUCUUUGUGGUAUCAUAUUUGUUUCCACUCGAAGUGAACAGCUGAUUGGAAAAUAUUGGAAACUUUCGAGCAUCAAAAGUGUUAUACUUCCAAUAACACAGAGGGACUAUUAUGUAGAUAAACAUGACAAAUCCAAUCCCAACAUUGAGAAUGGAUGACCAGGGUGUCACCAGGGGGCUGCCGUGAUAUGCUGAAAUCCCAGCCCAAUCAAUGGUGAAAGCACCAAUUCCAAGCCCGUGGUAACCUGAUCCUAUUUGUUGAGCUGUGAUGCUGUGAGGCCAUACCCAGCAGACCCAUGAAAAAAAUGUCAAUAUUGGGAGCAAGUAGCCAGGCAGUGCAUAAUAAAGAAAGCUUGCUGUCAUCACUAUAAGGAAGAAUCGCAUUCGAGUCAUUCCUUUCCUUCUCGGUUCCUUUUCAUGAAGAGCUCUAAAUAAAGAAACCUGAGCAAGAUUUGAAGGCCACCACAUUUCAACAGGAUCAACAAGAUAUCUCCUGAGCAUCCCAGCCCAUCCAUAUCCCAAUAUCUGAGUAGUCAAGACUAUGAGGAGCCCACAGAGAAAAUUCAGGCUUUGUUUAUAAUAAGCCUUCAUAACAGUAAUGGCACCAAUCGAGUAGGCAUCUCCCCCACCGUAAGACACACCACAAUUAGCAAAGAUAGUAAUGAUCACAUGCUCUUUGAUGUUAAAAGGCCCAGGAUUCAAACUAAAACCCCAUCCAAAAAUCUUAUACUCCUUAGUUGGAAGGAUCCUGGCCAUGAUCUUGCCAAUGGGCAGGACACCAAUCUGCAUGAGAAUGGCUGAGAUUGUGAGAGGCUGAGUACGGUAUGUGAAGAAAGUGUUUAGGAAUAUCAGGAGCACACAUGAAGUUAAACCCAGAAACCACGCACGAAAUGUCAUCACUGGGAGUGUUGGGUCAUCGGUUUCCGGCACCACUAGAGCCACCUCCUCUACAGGACACCUUUCGUGCUCUGUUGAGUCUCCGUUUGUGGCCUUUCCACCCUCUAAACCACCAUCAACAGGGGUUUGGCUCUUGCUCGCCAUUGAUGAACACCAAAGGCAGAUGUAAGAAGACCUCUCUCUCUCUUCUGUAGGCCGUAGCCAAUAUUAGUACACUUUCGAUUC